CCUACUACCAUACCCUCUUCAAACCAGUGCACCUGGCACCUACUACCAUACCCCCCUCAAACCGGUGCGCCUGGCACCUACCACCAUACCCUGUUUAAACCAGUGCACCUGGCACCUACUACCAUACCCUGUUUAAACCAGUGCACCUGGCACCUACUACCAUACCCCCCUCAAACCGGUGCACCUGGCACCUACUACCAUACCCUGUUCAAACCAGUGCACCUGGCACCUACUACCAUACCCCCCUCAAACCGGUGCACCUGGCACCUACUACCAUACCCUGUUUAAACCGGUGCACCUGGCACCUACUACCAUACCCUGUUUAAAGGCACUUAAAUAUUUUGUCUUGCCCAUUUACCCUCUUAUUUAUUUUUAUUUUCAGACCGGCUUCCGGCAGAAGGUGCUGGUCAGAGGGAAGUUCGGCCAUGUGGUUGGGGAAUGCUGAGUAAGGUUGUGUAUUGUUGGGGAAUGCUGAGUAAGGUUGUGUAUUGCUGGGGAAUGCUGAGUAAGGUUGUGUAUUGCUGGGGAAUGCUGAGUAAGGUUGUGUAUUGCUGGGGAAUGCUGAGUAAGGUUGUGUAUUGCUGGGGAAUGCUGAGUAAGGUUGUGUAUUGCUGGGGAAUGCUGAGUAAGGUUGUGUAUUGCUGGGGAAUGCUGAGUAAGGUUGUGUAUUGCUGGGGAAUGCUGAGUAAGGUUGUGUAUUGCUGGGGAAUGCUGAGUAAGGUUGUGUAUUGCUGGGGAAUGCUGAGUAAGGUUGUGUAUUGCUGGGGAAUGCUGAGUAAGGUUGUGUAUUGCUGGGGAAUGCUGAGUAAGGUUGUGUAUUGCUGGGGAAUGCUGAGUAAGGUUGUGUAUUGCUGGGGAAUGCUGAGUAAGGUUGUGUAUUGCUGGGGAAUGCUGAGUAAGGUUGUGUAUUGCUGGGGAAUGCUGAGUAAGGUUGUGUAUUGCUGGGGAAUGCUGAGUAAGGUUGUGUAUUGCUGGGGAAUGCUGAGUAAGGUUGUGUAUUGCUGGGGAAUGCUGAGUAAGGUUGUGUAUUGCUGGGGAAUGCUGAGUAAGGUUGUGUAUUCCUGGGGAAUGCUGAGUAAGGUUGUGUAUUGUUUGACGGUAUUUUGUGCUGAUAAGACGUAACUUAUUUUGACACUUUUAAUUAGUGCUUCCCUUGAACUUGCAUCAGAUCCUGUUUUUGUUUUUGUUUGUUUGUCUAAUUACAUGCACAUAUGUAAGCAUGGAAUGGGCAAGGAUGGCAAGGAUGGCAAGGAUGGCAAGGAUGGCAAGGAUGGCAAGGAUGGCAUAGUGUCAGGAGGUGCAUGGGCAAAGGGCACGUAUGUCAGGAGGACUCAAUAAGUGUGGAGGAGUUAAGCUGGAGUGCCACCAGAGAAGAAGAGAAGAAGAGGAGAAAGGGAUAACUGGGCCCCAAAUCUGUCUUCACCAGCAGGCUCUCCAGAGGGUGGUGAGGUCUGCACAACACAUCACCGGGGGCAAACUACCUGCCCUCCAGGACACCUACACCACCCGAUGUCACAGGAAGGCCAAAAAGAUCAUCAAGGACAUCAACCACCCGAGUCACUGCCUGUUCACACCGCUACCAUCCAGAAGGCGAGGUCAGUAUAGGUGCAUCAAAGCUGGGACCGAGAGAUUGAGAAACAGCUUAUAUCUCAAGGCCAUCAGACUGCUAAACAGCCAUCACUAACUCAGAGGCUGCUGCCUACAUUGAGACCCAAUCACUGUCCACUUUAAUAAAUGGAUCACUAGUCACUUUAUACAAUGCACAUAAUGCCACUUUAAUAAUGUUUACAUAUCUUACAUUACUCAUAUCACAUGUAUAUAGUGUAUUUUAUACCAUCUAUUGCAUCUUGCCUAUGUCGCUCGGCCAUCGCUCAUCCAUCUACUUAUAUGUACAUAUUCUCAUUCAUCUCUUUAGAUUUGUGUGUAUUAGGUAGUUGUUGGGGAUUGUUAGAUUACUUGUUAUUAGAUAUUACUG
Oncorhynchus keta (chum salmon) is the source of this 1975-nucleotide long non-coding RNA. RefSeq lists it as uncharacterized. The transcript has 5 exons. The record is from RefSeq and is a predicted model, not a curated record. Lineage: Eukaryota; Metazoa; Chordata; Actinopteri; Salmoniformes; Salmonidae.